UCCCUGGCAGUCCAGUGGUUAGGACACUGCACUCUCACUGCGGAGGGCCCAGGUUUAGUUCCUGACUGGGGAA
Molecule: non-coding RNA, 73 nt
Organism: Bos taurus (domestic cattle)
Lineage: Eukaryota; Metazoa; Chordata; Mammalia; Artiodactyla; Bovidae
Source: Rfam